This 530-nucleotide long non-coding RNA is filed under the name Homo sapiens (human). RNAcentral describes it as "HSALNT0018326". The record is from RNAcentral. Lineage: Eukaryota; Metazoa; Chordata; Mammalia; Primates; Hominidae.
GGUGCAGACAACCCAAAUGUCCCUCAGUGGAUGAAUGGAGAAACAAAACAUGGCACACCCACACAAUGGAAUGCUCUUCAGCCAUAGAUGGAAUGAAGUACUGCCCCACGCUACAGCAUGGACCAACCUCGAAGACAUCAUGCUGCGUGAAAGAAGUCAGCCAGAAAAGGCCAUAUACUUGCUGCAGAGUCAUGAUUAAGCAGAUCUGUCACUAAGUGAGGAUUUUGUUGUGCUUUUUGAAUGCAGUGCCUAGGUAUGUUCAUUUAUUUUUCUUUCAAGUUUGUAUUGAACGACGUAUUAUAUCUCACAUGGUAUGUCUCCUGUGCCCCACUGCCUGGGGCUCCCUGUCCCUCUCCACUUGCUUUCUUUUUUCCCAUUGCACUUACUUAUCACUACCCAACACAUUGGACAUGCAUUUGGCAUGCUUGGUUUUAUGUGUCAAACUUGGCUAAGCUAUAAGAUCCAGUUAUUUUUUUUUAUUUUUUCAUUUUUAUUUUUGAGAUGGAGUCUCGCUUUGUGGCCCAGGCUAG